RNAcentral lists this unclassified non-coding RNA (367 nucleotides) under Hevea brasiliensis (rubber tree). Lineage: Eukaryota; Viridiplantae; Streptophyta; Magnoliopsida; Malpighiales; Euphorbiaceae. The record is from RNAcentral.
GUUCUAAUUCACCUGGAGGAGGAGUGGCUCUGGCUGUGGGCCCCACAACAUAUGCCCCAGCUUUCCAGAAACUGCGGCAGUCGAGACUUGGAAGGUUUGGCGUCGCCGGUGUUAGCCCUAUUGCUUCAGGGGUCGGGUUCGGGUUCGGGUUCGGGUUCGGUUGUGGCUGGGGUAUUGGUUUUGUGUUCGACGAUGACGAUUUUUUACUGGUCGGAACGACCGUUACGCCUUCUUCCUCGUCGUCACUACUGUCGAUUGCGACCACAUUGAUCGGUUGCUGUCCCUUUUUAGGAAGUUGGCGUCUAGGCAUUUUCUCGAGACUGAACUUCUUUUUGUGUUUUUAGGGAUUAGGGCUUUGAUAUCUCUG